GGUUAAGCGACUAAGCGUACACGGUGGAUGCCCUGGCAGUCAGAGGCGAUGAAGGACGUGCUAAUCUGCGAUAAGCGCCGGUAAGGUGAUAUGAACCGUUAUAACCGGCGAUUUCCGAAUGGGGAAACCCAGUGUGAUUCGUCACACUAUCAUUAACUGAAUCCAUAGGUUAAUGAGGCGAACCGGGGGAACUGAAACAUCUAAGUACCCCGAGGAAAAGAAAUCAACCGAGAUUCCCCCAGUAGCGGCGAGCGAACGGGGAGGAGCCCAGAGCCUGAAUCAGCAUGUGUGUUAGUGGAAGCGUCUGGAAAGGCGCGCGAUACAGGGUGACAGCCCCGUACACAAAAGCGCACAUGCUGUGAGCUCGAUGAGUAGGGCGGGACACGUGGUAUCCUGUCUGAAUAUGGGGGGACCAUCCUCCAAGGCUAAAUACUCCUGACUGACCGAUAGUGAACCAGUACCGUGAGGGAAAGGCGAAAAGAACCCCGGCGAGGGGAGUGAAAAAGAACCUGAAACCGUGUACGUACAAGCAGUGGGAGCACCCUUUGGGGUGUGACUGCGUACCUUUUGUAUAAUGGGUCAGCGACUUAUAUUCUGUAGCAAGGUUAACCGUAUAGGGGAGCCGGAGGGAAACCGAGUCUUAACCGGGCGUUAAGUUGCAGGGUAUAGACCCGAAACCCGGUGAUCUAGCCAUGGGCAGGUUGAAGGUUGGGUAACACUAACUGGAGGACCGAACCGACUAAUGUUGAAAAAUUAGCGGAUGACCUGUGGCUGGGGGUGAAAGGCCAAUCAAACCGGGAGAUAGCUGGUUCUCCCCGAAAGCUAUUUAGGUAGCGCCUCGUGAAUUCAUCUCCGGGGGUAGAGCACUGUUUCGGCUAGGGGGCCAUCCCGGCUUACCAACCCGAUGCAAACUGCGAAUACCGGAGAAUGUUAUCACGGGAGACACACGGCGGGUGCUAACGUCCGUCGUGAAGAGGGAAACAACCCAGACCGCCAGCUAAGGUCCCAAAGUCAUGGUUAAGUGGGAAACGAUGUGGGAAGGCCCAGACAGCCAGGAUGUUGGCUUAGAAGCAGCCAUCAUUUAAAGAAAGCGUAAUAGCUCACUGGUCGAGUCGGCCUGCGCGGAAGAUGUAACGGGGCUAAACCAUGCACCGAAGCUGCGGCAGCGACACUGUGUGUUGUUGGGUAGGGGAGCGUUCUGUAAGCCUGUGAAGGUGUGUCGUGAGGCAUGCUGGAGGUAUCAGAAGUGCGAAUGCUGACAUAAGUAACGAUAAAGCGGGUGAAAAGCCCGCUCGCC
Molecule: ribosomal RNA, 1297 nt
Filed under: Salmonella enterica subsp. enterica serovar Senftenberg
Lineage: Bacteria; Pseudomonadati; Pseudomonadota; Gammaproteobacteria; Enterobacterales; Enterobacteriaceae
Description: partial 23S ribosomal RNA
Rfam family: Bacterial large subunit ribosomal RNA
Source: RNAcentral